This 460-nucleotide ribosomal RNA is filed under the name uncultured bacterium. RNAcentral describes it as "partial 16S ribosomal RNA". It matches the Rfam family "Bacterial small subunit ribosomal RNA", at positions 338 to 795 of the family's 1533-position model. The record is from RNAcentral.
CCUACGGGAGGCCGCAGUGAGGAAUAUUGGUCAAUGGGCGCUAGCCUGAACCAGCCAAGUAGCGUGAAGGAUGACUGCCCUAUGGGUUGUAAACUUCUUUUAUAUGGGAAUAAAGUGCAGUAUGUAUACUGCUUUGCAUGUACCUUAUGAAUAAGGAUCGGCUAACUCCGUGCCAGCAGCCGCUGUAAUACGGAGGAUCCGAGCGUUAUCCUGAUUUCUUGGGUUUAGAGGGAGCGUAGGCGGGUUGUUAAGUAAGUUGGGAAAGUUUGCGGCUCAACCGUAAAAUUGCAGUUGAUACUGGCAUCCUUGAGUACAGUAGAGGUAUGCGGAAUUCGUGGUGUAGCGGUGAAAUGCUUAGAUAUCACGAAGAACUCCGAUGGAGAAGGCAGCCUGCUGGACUGUAACUGACGCUGAUGCUCGAAAGUGUGGGUAUCAAACAGGAUUAGAUACCCUAGUAGUC